GUCUAUGGUCCUACCACCCUGAACACACCUGAUAUCAUCUCAUCUCUGAAGCUAAGGAGGGCAAGCUUAGUACCUGGAUGGGAGAAUUUGUGUAUAUCUGUAGUGU
Ribosomal RNA from Cricetulus griseus (Chinese hamster), 106 nucleotides. The record is from Ensembl. Lineage: Eukaryota; Metazoa; Chordata; Mammalia; Rodentia; Cricetidae.